Molecule: non-coding RNA, 25 nt
Filed under: Cricetulus griseus (Chinese hamster)
Lineage: Eukaryota; Metazoa; Chordata; Mammalia; Rodentia; Cricetidae
Source: RNAcentral
UUCCUCUGAAGAAACUGCAGUGAGC